Molecule: ribosomal RNA, 315 nt
Filed under: uncultured soil bacterium
Lineage: Bacteria
Description: bacterial SSU rRNA
Rfam family: Bacterial small subunit ribosomal RNA
Source: RNAcentral
AGAUUGAACGCUGGCGGCAGGCCUAACACAUGCAAGUCGAGCGGCAGCACGGGUACUUGUACCUGGUGGCGAGCGGCGGACGGGUGAGUAAUGCCUAGGAAUCUGCCUGGUAGUGGGGGAUAACGCUCGGAAACGGACGCUAAUACCGCAUACGUCCUACGGGAGAAAGCAGGGGACCUUCGGGCCUUGCGCUAUCAGAUGAGCCUAGGUCGGAUUAGCUAGUUGGUGAGGUAAUGGCUCACCAAGGCGACGAUCCGUAACUGGUCUGAGAGGAUGAUCAGUCACACUGGAACUGAGACACGGUCCAGACUCCUA